This 207-nucleotide long non-coding RNA is filed under the name Gallus gallus (chicken). The record is from RNAcentral. Lineage: Eukaryota; Metazoa; Chordata; Aves; Galliformes; Phasianidae.
UGGGGCGCCGCCCGGCGCCAUCUUGAGCGCGGCACCUCUCCGCCUUCCCCGAAGGUUAGCGAGAGCGUAGGGCGCGUUGCCAUCGCUCUCUCACACCGCCGCUAUUCGGAGAUGGAGAGUUGAAGGGGGGUGCCGAGAGCGGGACGUGGAGAAAGGCUCGGUUGCAAGCUCUUCAGGGCAGAGGAAACAUCUCUAUUUAUAAAACAG